RNAcentral lists this ribosomal RNA (584 nucleotides) under uncultured Pseudomonadota bacterium. RNAcentral's name for it is "bacterial SSU rRNA". It matches the Rfam family "Bacterial small subunit ribosomal RNA", at positions 97 to 659 of the family's 1533-position model. The record is from RNAcentral. Lineage: Bacteria; Pseudomonadati; Pseudomonadota.
GGCGCACGGGUGAGUAACACGUGGAUAAUCUUCCUCUGAGUGAGGGAUAACAUUCCGAAAGGGAUGCUAAUACCUCAUAAUACUCUAUGUUCCACGGAAGAUAGAGUCAAAGAUAGCCUCUGAAUCAAGCUGUCGCUGAGAGAUGAGUCCGCGCCCCAUUAGCUAGUUGGUAGGGUAAUGGCCUACCAAGGCGACGAUGGGUAGCUGGUCUGAGAGGAUGACCAGCCACACUGGAACUGAGACACGGUCCAGACUCCUACGGGAGGCAGCAGUGAGGAAUAUUGCGCAAUGGGGGAAACCCUGACGCAGCAACGCCGUGUGGGUGAUGAAGGCCCUCGGGUCGUAAAGCCCUGUCAGGUGGAAAGAACGCUAUGUGGCUAAUAUCCAUAUAGCCUGACGGUACCACCAGAGGAAGCACCGGCCAACUCCGUGCCAGCAGCCGCGGUAAUACGGAGGGUGCAAGCGUUGUUCGGAAUUAUUGGGCGUAAAGGGCGUGUAGGCGGUUAAUCAAGUUAGAUGUGAAAUCCCUGGGCUCAACCCAGGAAGUGCAUCUGAGACUGAUCAACUAGAGUACAGGAGAGGAA